CGGCAUGUAGCGCAGCCUGGUAGCGCACCGUCAUGGGGGGUCGUAGGUUCAAAUCCUAUCAUGCCGACCA
This 70-nucleotide transfer RNA is filed under the name Xenorhabdus doucetiae. Its description in RNAcentral is "tRNA-OTHER". It matches the Rfam family "tRNA". From Rfam's summary of the family: Transfer RNA (tRNA) molecules are approximately 80 nucleotides in length. Their secondary structure includes four short double-helical elements and three loops (D, anti-codon, and T loops). The record is from RNAcentral. Lineage: Bacteria; Pseudomonadati; Pseudomonadota; Gammaproteobacteria; Enterobacterales; Morganellaceae.